RNAcentral lists this ribosomal RNA (292 nucleotides) under uncultured bacterium. RNAcentral describes it as "partial 16S ribosomal RNA". It matches the Rfam family "Bacterial small subunit ribosomal RNA", at positions 505 to 796 of the family's 1533-position model. The record is from RNAcentral.
GUGUCAGCAGCCGCGGUAAUACGAACGGUCCAAACGUUAUUCGGAAUCACUGGGCUUAAAGCGUCCGUAGGCGGCUCGGAAAGUAGGGUGUGAAAUCCCACGGCUCAACCGUGGAAUUGCGCUCUAAACUAUCGAGCUAGAGGGAGAUAGAGGUGAGCGGAACUGAUGGUGGAGCGGUGAAAUGCGUUGAUAUCAUCAGGAACACCGGAGGCGAAGGCGGCUCACUGGGUCUUUUCUGACGCUGAGGGACGAAAGCUAGGGGAGCGAACGGGAUUAGAUACCCCGGUAGUCC